CAUGUAGGCGGUUUGAUAAAUUAGAAGUGAAAUGCCUGGGCUUAACCCGGGAAUUGCUUUUAAGACUGUCAGACUUGAAUCCGUGAGAGGACAGUGGAAUUCCCAGUGUAGAGGUGAAAUUCGUAGAUAUUGGGAAGAACACCAGUAGCGAAGGCGACUGUCUGGUGCGGUAUUGACGCUGAGAUGCGAAAGCGUGGGGAGCAAACA
Molecule: ribosomal RNA, 207 nt
Filed under: uncultured bacterium
Lineage: Bacteria
Description: partial 16S ribosomal RNA
Rfam family: Bacterial small subunit ribosomal RNA
Source: RNAcentral